UCGUCAGCUCGUGUCGUGAGAUGUUGGGUUAAGUCCCGCAACGAGCGCAACCCUUGUUACUAGUUGCCAGCAUUGAGUUGGGCACUCUAGUGAGACUGCCGGUGACAAACCGGAGGAAGGUGGGGACGACGUCAGAUCAUCAUGCCCCUUAUGACCUGGGCUACACACGUGCUACAAUGGACGGUACAACGAGUCGCAAACUCGCGAGAGUAAGCUAAUCUCUUAAAGCCGUUCUCAGUUCGGACUGUAGGCUGCAACUCGCCUACACGAAGUCGGAAUCGCUAGUAAUCGCGGAUCAGCAUGCCGCGGUGAAUACGUUCCCGGGCCUUGUACACACCGCCCGUCACACCAUGGGAGUUUGUAACGCCCAAAGUCGGUGGCCUAACCUUUAUGGAGGGAGCCGCCUAAGGCGGGACAGAUGACUGGGGUGAAGUCGUAACAAGGUAGCCGUA
RNAcentral lists this ribosomal RNA (452 nucleotides) under uncultured bacterium. RNAcentral's name for it is "bacterial SSU rRNA". It matches the Rfam family "Bacterial small subunit ribosomal RNA", at positions 1052 to 1504 of the family's 1533-position model. The record is from RNAcentral.